UUUAUGUCAACCCGAUUUCACAUGUAUAUAUCAUGAAUAUGUGGUCCACCCAAAUCUCUCUUAAAUCAUGAGGACAAGAAAAAAGAGAAAUUACAAUAUAUAUAAAAAGGUAAGAAAAGAAAGAAAAAAAGAUGCGUGUGACUAGAGGGUGGGGGAGUGGGAUGGGACGGGAGUCGUGGAGCUCACGUCAGGGGGUGUUUGGUUCUUUAGAACCUCCUAAAAUUCAUGUCGCAUCGAAUGUUUAGAUAAUAAUUAGGUGUAUUAAAUAUAGAUUAAUUAUAAAACCAAUUGCAGAGAUGGAGGCUAAUUUGUGAGACGAAUCUAUUAAGCCUAAUUACUCCAUGAUUCGACAAUGUGAUGCUACAGUAAACAUGUGUAAUGAUAGAUUAAUUAGGCUUAAUAGAUUCAUCUCGUGAAUUAGUCUCCAUCUGUGUAAUUAUAGUUUUAUAAUUAGUUCAUAUUUAGUUCUCCUGAUUAGCUUUCGUAUAUUCGAUGUGACAUGAAUUUUAAUCCGGACAAAGAUCUAAACACCCCUUAGGCAUGUACCGGCCUGAUGCAGGAUUGCAAGCCAUCAUCAGCAAUGAUUAUAUUACUGAAGCACUAAAAGUUUCAGAUAGGUAGGCACUGAAUCAUUUGCAUCUUUUGUCAAGCAACAUGGUCUAAACUUCAUAGAUUGUCUCUCCACCGCCAUCGGAUACCACCAAUAUUGUUUAGCUGUCAUUUAGUAAAUAUUCGAUCUUCCCCUCAAAUUCCCUUCGCAGGAAAUUCAAUUAGUUACAUGUAUUUGAGUUCCUCUCUAGUCAUUUUCGUGCACCCGAAUUUUUUAAAAGAAAUUGACAAAACAUAUCACAAGAAGCAUGUGCACACAUGCCCAAACAACAGUUCUCCCGGGCCUGGUGCGCGUCUAAAUAAAGCCGGGAACUCAUCAGCCAUCCUUAUCAAGCCAUCCAACACCC
This 956-nucleotide long non-coding RNA is filed under the name Setaria viridis. Its description in RNAcentral is "long non-coding RNA (SVIR_LNC006374)". The record is from RNAcentral. Lineage: Eukaryota; Viridiplantae; Streptophyta; Magnoliopsida; Poales; Poaceae.